UGUGAUACCCCCUGUCAUGUCUCUGUUACCUAGAAUUGCUUUUGCUAUUCUGGGUCUCUUCUUGUUCCAAAUGAAUUUUUGGAUUGUUUUCUCGAGGUCUAUGAAGUAUGGUGCUGGGAUCUCAAUUGGAACUGCAUUAAAUCUAUAUAGCAGUUUUGGAAGUAUGGCCAUUUUCACUAUAUUAAUCCUUCCUACCCAGGAGCAGGGGAUGUCUGUCCAUUUUCUGAUAUCAUCUUCAAUCUCUCUUUUCAGAGUGCCAUAGUUUUCAGAGAAGAGGUCUUUGAUUUCUUUCAUUAGGAUGAUUCCUAGGUAUUUCAGUUUUUUGGAUGCUAUUGUGAAAGGAAUUAUUUGCCCUAUUU
This 359-nucleotide long non-coding RNA is filed under the name Heterocephalus glaber (naked mole-rat). RNAcentral describes it as "lncRNA (ENSHGLG00100033219.1)". Lineage: Eukaryota; Metazoa; Chordata; Mammalia; Rodentia; Bathyergidae. The record is from RNAcentral.